RNAcentral lists this ribosomal RNA (301 nucleotides) under uncultured bacterium. RNAcentral describes it as "partial 16S ribosomal RNA". It matches the Rfam family "Bacterial small subunit ribosomal RNA", at positions 509 to 807 of the family's 1533-position model. The record is from RNAcentral.
CAGUAGCCACGGGAAUACGAAGGGUGCAAGCGUUAAUCGGAAUUACUGGGCGUAAAGCGUGCGUAGGCGGUUUGUUAAGUCUGUUGUGAAAUCCCCGGGCUCAACCUGGGAAUGGCAAUGGAUACUGGCAAGCUAGAGUGUGUCAGAGGAUGGUGGAAUUCCCGGUGUAGCGGUGAAAUGCGUAGAGAUCGGGAGGAACAUCAGUGGCGAAGGCGGCCAUCUGGGACAACACUGACGCUGAGGCACGAAAGCGUGGGGAUCAAACAGGAUUAGAUACCCCCGUAGUCCCUGUCUCUUAUAC